This 199-nucleotide long non-coding RNA is filed under the name Setaria italica (foxtail millet). Its description in RNAcentral is "long non-coding RNA (SITA_LNC005994)". The record is from RNAcentral. Lineage: Eukaryota; Viridiplantae; Streptophyta; Magnoliopsida; Poales; Poaceae.
GGACGUUAGCAAAAGGUUCUCCAAACAUGCUUUUGGCUUCUUAGAAGUCAGCUUUCAGAAGCAGGUUGUUCGUUCAAGCUUUUGAGUUUUGGCAACAUCUUAGACGUGGCAGGUCGUCAUUCAUGUUUCACUUCACAUACUUCUUCUAAAAUUAAUGAAGUGGGUACGAACAACAGCAGCAGAGUUGUAAAUGUGGGGG